ACAGAUUGGGGGGGUUAUUAAUUUAGAUUUUUAUUAGUCGAUGGACUGACAAGAAAAUCCAUUACGUCUUUAUCAGCCGUCGUUCACUGGUCACGAACUGUUGGAUCGUCAUAUUGAACAGCCACAGUUCUCAGGUCUGUUUUUAUUAUCUCAGCAUCAUCCCAGAGGAUCAACAUCAAGUCCAGGUUAUAAGGCUACAUGUCUUCUUCUUAUUCGACCAAAAUGAUGAACAGAUCAGUGGAAACGUGAACAUCAAUAACAGAGCAAGGGCUGAUGUCAGUGAAGGCAUCAUCAUUAGGUGUAACUGAGCCUCCUGUUGUUGUUGUUGUCAGCGUGCCAGCAGCUUCAGUCUGCCCUUCAAUUUAACCAGCAGCUCAUUCACAGUCCACAUUCCUGUUCUGCCCCUCCACCACCACCACCUCCACCCCCGGCACGACACCACAUCCCAUCAUUUCCUGGGGCAGUCCUCAGGUCUAACUGAUCUCUGCAGUGUUACAGGAUGUUUUCUUCAUCUUGUAUGUGGUCAGUUCUGACUGAAGCUAUCUGAUGUAAAUAAAGAUUUCUGAUGGAUUAUAUUUGUGAUUAAACUCAGCAGGAUGUCAAAGACUUUAUCAACCA
Molecule: long non-coding RNA, 618 nt
Organism: Lates calcarifer (barramundi perch)
Lineage: Eukaryota; Metazoa; Chordata; Actinopteri; Centropomidae
Exons: 2
Source: RefSeq, a predicted model, not a curated record